This 73-nucleotide transfer RNA is filed under the name bacterium. RNAcentral's name for it is "tRNA-Thr". It matches the Rfam family "tRNA". Rfam says of the family: Transfer RNA (tRNA) molecules are approximately 80 nucleotides in length. Their secondary structure includes four short double-helical elements and three loops (D, anti-codon, and T loops). The record is from RNAcentral.
GCCACCAUAGCUCAAUUGGUAGAGCGCCUCACUUGUAAUGAGGUGGUUGCGGGUUCGAGUCCUGCUGGUGGCU